RNAcentral lists this ribosomal RNA (507 nucleotides) under uncultured bacterium. RNAcentral describes it as "partial 16S ribosomal RNA". It matches the Rfam family "Bacterial small subunit ribosomal RNA", at positions 28 to 523 of the family's 1533-position model. The record is from RNAcentral.
GAUGAACGCUAGCUACAGGCUUAACACAUGCAAGUCGAGGGGAAACGAUAUUGGAAGCUUGCUUCCGAUAGGCGUCGACCGGCGCACGGGUGAGUAACGCGUAUCCAACCUGCCCACCACUUGGGGAUAACCUUGCGAAAGUAAGACUAAUACCCAAUGACGUCUCUAGAAGACAUCUGAAAGAGAUUAAAGAUUUAUCGGUGAUGGAUGGGGAUGCGUCUGAUUAGCUUGUUGGCGGGGUAACGGCCCACCAAGGCUACGAUCAGUAGGGGUUCUGAGAGGUAGGUCCCCCACAUUGGAACUGAGACACGGUCCAAACUCCUACGGGAGGCAGCAGUGAGGAAUAUUGGUCAAUGGGCGAGAGCCUGAACCAGCCAAGUAGCGUGCAGGAUGACGGCCCUAUGGGUUGUAAACUGCUUUUAUAAGGGAAUAAAGUGAGUCUCGUGAGACUCUUUGCAUGUACCUUAUGAAUAAGGACCGGCUAAUUCCUGCCAGCCGCCGCGGUAA